This 92-nucleotide small nucleolar RNA is filed under the name Peromyscus maniculatus bairdii (prairie deer mouse). Its description in RNAcentral is "Small nucleolar SNORD12/SNORD106 (ENSPEMG00000001549.2)". It matches the Rfam family "Small nucleolar SNORD12/SNORD106". From Rfam's summary of the family: This family belong to the C/D class of snoRNA which contain the C (UGAUGA) and D (CUGA) box motifs. This family includes the human ortholog of mouse snoRNA HBII-99 and human snoRNA U106. The record is from Rfam by way of RNAcentral. Lineage: Eukaryota; Metazoa; Chordata; Mammalia; Rodentia; Cricetidae. RNAcentral also lists the same sequence under 1 other name.
GCUGGUGUAAAUGAUGACUUCACUUUUUUCCCCGUCAUAUCGACAAUGCUGAUCUCUGAAAAUAUUUUGCCAGUUAAUUCUGAUACGCCAGC